CCUACGGUGGGCAGCAGUAGGGAAUAUUGCUCAAUGGGGGAAACCCUGAAGCAGCAACGCCGCGUGGAGGAUGAAGGUUUUAGGAUUGUAAACUCCUUUUGUGAGAGAAGAUAAUGACGGUAUCUCACGAAUAAGCACCGGUUAACUCCGGGCCAGCAGCCGCGGUAAUACGGCGGGUGCAAGCGUUACUCGGAAUUACUGGGCGUAAAGAGUGCGAAGGCGGGCUUGGAAGUCAAUAGUGAAAUCCUGUAGCUUAACUACAUGAAUGCAUUUGAAACUAUUAGUCUAGAGUGUGGGAGAGGUAGGUGGAAUUCUUGGUGUAGGGGUAAAAUCCGUAGAUAUCAAGAGGAAUACUCAUUGCGAAGGCGACCUACUGGAACAUUACUGACGCUCAUGCACGAAAGCGUGGGGAGCAAACAGGAUUAGAUACCCUAGUAGUC
Molecule: ribosomal RNA, 440 nt
Filed under: uncultured bacterium
Lineage: Bacteria
Description: partial 16S ribosomal RNA
Rfam family: Bacterial small subunit ribosomal RNA
Source: RNAcentral